UUUACAUAAAGAAUCGUUGAAAUCAGAUGUUUUGAAGCGGAUAACGAGACUUCCGCCUCGAACUGCACCACCACCCUAAUGCCCCCACUACUGCAGUUGUGACUCACCACAAACCAACAAAAAGUUGCCCACACAGCCUUAUCAGUCGAAAACCAACUGCUGCCGCCAAUAGCAGCGGGUAUCAGUUGUGGCAACGGCGUUCCUGACUACAGUCACAGUGAAAACGAUCGAAACAUUCCCAGCGUGGAAGAGAAUUUCGGUGCUGUGAGUGAGAAUACUACAGCUCUCAUCGCGGCAUUCGGCGCGGUAUAACGGCCGGACGGGUAUAACGGCCAAUUAACGAUCGGGAGAUGUUGGCACGCAGCGACGUGAAGCGAACGCCAGAUAAAGAAUAAUGUACUUUUUAUUACGCCGUGGUGAACAUGCUUCCACAUAGUGUUACAGAUCAAAUUAAUAAUUGUGACAGUGCAGGGCCAUAGUAAUAAAACACACAGAGGAAAUAAAAAAAAGUUUUCGGAAAA
Aedes albopictus (Asian tiger mosquito) is the source of this 521-nucleotide long non-coding RNA. RefSeq lists it as uncharacterized. Lineage: Eukaryota; Metazoa; Arthropoda; Insecta; Diptera; Culicidae. The record is from RefSeq and is a predicted model, not a curated record. The transcript is spliced from 2 exons.